AUUUUUUAAAAUAAAAAUGAAGCCUAUCACCACUGAGGAAGAAGAGGCGAAACAACUUUCACCUCGGCGGUUAGGACGCGCGGCUUCGUGAAGCUACAGGAGGAAUGCAAGUGCUCUUUUCCUGGGCUAAGCAAGAUUUUGACAUCAGCGCCGAAAGCGAAGGGAAAACUGAUCGAUGCUCUGCUUCGCCCCCUCCCAGACAAACGAAGCGUCUCCCUUGCCUUGGCUUCGUCCAAGCCUCCAGUCCCAUCCCUUGGCAGGAAGUUGCCGUGGGGGAAAAGGGAGGGAGAAAAAGAAAAGGAGAGACUUACUUUCGAGUAAACUUGGAGAGGCUUGGGAGACGCACGUGUGAGAUUUGCAGCACGAGGCUGGGCAUGUUGACACAGAAGGAUGCCCAGCACGGGUUUCAAGGGGGCUGACGCUCAAAUGCAGUUUAAAAGGAGUUUCACUUUUUGGCUUGUUCAUUUGGAAGGAGACAGCCCCCCCCCCGGCAUAUAACGCUUGGUACACAUGGCAUCUCAAGAAUACAGCAUGCCCUGGAGAAAGAGGAGGAUUGGUCUGCUUAAAAUUCAUAAUCCUUACAAAGUGGCUGCCCCAUUCAUGAAGUGUUCCUUCUUUUUAGCGAGAGUAAACACAAUCACAGUGAAGAGAAAGAAAAGACAUUUAUUCACGGAGUAGUAAUGCUUCUAAACCACACAAAUGCAGGGGCAGCGUUUAAUAAUUUAGUAUUAUUUUUGCAUUGAUUUGUAUAUGAAAUAGGUGGAGUUUCAUUGUGCAGGGUUGAUUGUUUCACCAUCCAAUCUGUGGGCUCAGAGGCUUGCAUUUGCAAGCUGUGAAUAUGUGCUGUGUAGUUCACUGGGCAUACUUGGGUCACCUCCAAGGCAAAGAAGUGGUAGCUGAGGGCUGGUUUCUGUGUUGCACUCUUACCCCUCCCUUAAUUUUGCUGCAAGUACACUUCUCAGGCAGGCAGCGGAUGCAUGUCUGGUGCAGACACACUUCACACCUGAGUAUGUGCCUGUCCUUUGGCUAUGAGGAAAAGGGGAACUCCAGGCUGCCUUCCUAGAACAGGGAGAUUUCAGUAAUUCAGUAGCUUAAGCCAAGUCAAAUUUCUUUCUGGAAGUGAUUGUAAGAAGAAUUGCACAGUGUGUGUUACCUCUAUAGUGGCCAGCUGGAACUUUGUAGGAUUGUUUUUUUGUACAGACACCUGAUAUUUUCAUAAUAGGUAGAUUUUUUUUGGAAAAGAUGAUCAGCUGGUGCUCGAGUUCUGCAGCCACGUUUUAGCUGAAGUGUAAGCAUCUUGUACUGACACUCACAUUGCAGAACUAUAAAAUGCAAAAGGAUCAGAUAUUUUCACAAGAGGACAUAUACCACAACAUGUUGUGACACUUUUUUCCAGCACCUAACAGGAAUGUUCUUGUUUAGGGUUACUGCCAGCCACCUGGAGAUGUCUUUUUCUAAUUCUUAGGGGCUCAAGGAAGCCAAUUUACUCUCCCUCUGUGGUUUUCUAUCUCUUUCUUUUCCUGCGUUCUGUUAAGACUGAGCAUGUUCAGUUUGGGAUUGUUUUGUUAGUUUUCUUUUUUUUACUUCUGCAAACCUUGAGGUUUCCUUUGAGCAUUCUGAGUGCACCGAGUUCCUUGUUAGAGGGAACAAUUGUGCCUGAUUAACAUAACUUGCAUAUCAUUUUAAAAAACAUGGCAGAUACAUUUGGAGGAUAUUGUUUGCUCUAUGCUAUACUAUCCCCUCCCCCUGAAAAAGUUCUUAUGCACAGACUUGGAAAUGGCAACAUAUGAUGAAUUCCUGUAUCAUUCCCAUGUCAAAACAGCACUAUGAAUCACUGCUUCGUUCAUAUGAUAUUCAGGUCACUCCUGUUUCAGUUCUAGGAUUGGGCUAUGUAUCCUGAUAUAUAAUAAUUGUUUAAAAUUUUUACUUUUAUAUUUAUUACAACUUACACCCUGCUUUUCACCAUCAGCAUCCCAAAGUGGCUUACAGAAUAAAAGUAUGCAACAUACAAAGUUUAAAGCAUAAAUUGAAACAUCAGAGACUUAAAACUUCAGAGCGGCAUUCACGGUGCGGAGGCCUCCAAAAAUAAAAGAGUUCUAAUCUGUUUUCUGAAACUUGGCAGGGAUUGUGCUUCCCUGGUUUCUAGUGGGAGGGAGUUCCACAGAGCUAGGUUCCCUACAAUGAAGGCUGACUCCUUGUUGACACAAGUUGUGCUUCUGGUUCCCUGUGGGAGUACUAAUAUUGCUGCCCCUAGGUGAUCUCAUUGAUCAUUUUGGGAGACAUGGGUUAAAGCAUUCUGGACCUAAGUUGUUCUGGAGUUUGCACACUAGUAUCUUGAACCUGGCCUGGUCCUCUCUGUUAUUUGCCACUCAGUGGCAAAGCAUUUGCUUUUUCUACAGGAUGCCUCACGUCCAAUCCCUGUUCCUUCCGUUAAAACAAGGACAUCCAACUCCCAAGAGACUGCAAUCUGCUUCCGGGGAAAACUGGCAGUGAUCUACCCAUUUUUUUUGGGGGGGGAGUUCACAGUUGGGGGGAGGAGACAUGAUUCUAAAUAACGCGAGCGAUAAGGAUCCCGCGAUCAUCCGGGGAUCAACCUGUCUAUUGCGGUCAACCGGUUGGACACCCCUGCGUUAAGAGAUGGCCAGGUUGCAGUUGAUGGGGAAGAUGAAGGGACCCUCUGCAAGACACAGGAGAGUGUUCUGGUCUUGUAGGUGAAAUUGUGCUGAUAAAAGGCAAAGCACCUCCUGUCAAGAAGGGCUGUAGCUCAGUGAUAGAGCAUCUGCUUUGCAUGCAGAAGGUGCCAGGUUCAAUCCCCAGCACCAACCAGGUUCAACCCCUGCCUGAAACCCUGGAGAGUCGCUGUUGGUCAGUGCAGAUGAUACAUGCUUAGAUGGACCAGUGUUUGAUUCUGUAUAAGGCAGCUUCCUGCAUUCCUAUCUGUGCAUAUUUGCAAGUGUAUUAGAAGUGUGUUUGUCCUUUUGAAAGUAAGUGGAUAACACAAUCCUGGGUGGAUUCCUUUAGUGUUCAUUCUUGGGAUAUAAGGGGCAGUUGCCGCUCUUGCGUCUCCCGUGACACCAAUAUUCAACUCCGGGUACUCUCUCUGGUGAAGUUGGUGGUUAUUAGCAUUCCUUCUUUCCCUUUGUUUACAGUUUCUUAUUUACUUUGUUGAAUUUUUUAAAAGUUGCAAGAAUUCUGUCAAAUACAUAUAUUCAACAGUAUUUAGGCCUCAAAAAAUAAAGAUGCAUUAGAAAGAUGCC
Molecule: long non-coding RNA, 3257 nt
Organism: Podarcis muralis (Common wall lizard)
Lineage: Eukaryota; Metazoa; Chordata; Lepidosauria; Squamata; Lacertidae
Source: RefSeq, a predicted model, not a curated record